Molecule: ribosomal RNA, 301 nt
Filed under: uncultured bacterium
Lineage: Bacteria
Description: partial 16S ribosomal RNA
Rfam family: Bacterial small subunit ribosomal RNA
Source: RNAcentral
CAGUAGCCACGGUAACACGUAGGGUGCGAGCGUUAAUCGGAAUUACUGGGCGUAAAGCGUGCGCAGGCGGUUAUAUAAGACAGAUGUGAAAUCCCCGGGCUCAACCAGGGACCUGCAUUUGUGACUGUAUAGCUAGAGUACGGUAGAGGGGGAUGGAAUUCCGCGUGUAGCAGUGAAAUGCGUAGAUAUGCGGAGGAACACCGAUGGCGAAGGCAAUCCCCUGGACCUGUACUGACGCUCAUGCACGAAAGCGUGGGGAGCAAACAGGAUUAGAUACCCGUGUAGUCCCUGUCUCUUAUAC